This 479-nucleotide ribosomal RNA is filed under the name uncultured bacterium. Its description in RNAcentral is "bacterial SSU rRNA". It matches the Rfam family "Bacterial small subunit ribosomal RNA", at positions 19 to 518 of the family's 1533-position model. The record is from RNAcentral.
AUGGCUCAGGACGAACGCUGGCGGCGUGCUUCAUACAUGCAAGUCGAACGAGAAGUUACCUUCGGGUAAUGGAAAGUGGCGGACGGGUGAGUAAUGUGUAGAGAAUCUGCCCUAGAGUGGGGGACAACAGUUGGAAACGACUGCUAAUACCGCAUAUGAGCGUACCUGAAAUGGUAUUCUUGAAAACUCCGGUGCUCUGGGAUGAGUCUGCAUCUGAUUAGCUAGUUGGGGGUGUAAUGGACCACCAAGGCGACGAUCAGUAGCUGGUUUGAGAGGAUGAUCAGCCACAAUGGGACUGAGACACGGCCCAUACUCCUACGGGAGGCAGCAGUAGGGAAUUUUGCGCAAUGGGGGAAACCCUGACGCCAGCAACGCCGCGUGAUUGAAUAAGCCCUUCGGGGUGUAAAGAUCUGUCAGUGGGGACGAAACUUGACGGUACCCACAGAGGAAGCAUCGGCUAACUCCGUGCCAGCCGCCGC